AACUUUUUUAAAUUGUAUUAUUUCAUAUUUGAAUCAUUUCCAUGCCAUUUUCAAAUCUUUUUUUAACAAAAAUUUAGUUUCAAAGUUUUAAAUUUAGGUGAAAACUUGCUACAAAAUAACACAUUCUUUAGUCGUUUCAAUUGCUAUCUAUCCGCAGACUGCAAUUUUGUUUUCCCACAACCAUUCACACAAUAAAUAAGGGUAUAAAGUUUUGUUCAUAUAACACAUUUCAAUACUAACAUUUCAAUUUUGAACAAUUUUUCUAAACUUAUUUCCCUUCGCCCAAACGUCAUUCAACAUUCUUUGUACAAAACAUUACCAUUAUAGAAAAUCUCAUUUUUCCACUAUUUCAUUU
Molecule: non-coding RNA, 355 nt
Organism: Caenorhabditis elegans
Lineage: Eukaryota; Metazoa; Nematoda; Chromadorea; Rhabditida; Rhabditidae
Source: Ensembl